GCUACUCGAAUUCUUGGCACACCUCUCCGUGGUGAGUAGCAGGCAACGAUAGUACUGGUUAUGAAAAUCGGCUAAGAUGCAAA
Molecule: ribozyme, 83 nt
Filed under: uncultured Blautia sp.
Lineage: Bacteria; Bacillati; Bacillota; Clostridia; Lachnospirales; Lachnospiraceae
Description: HDV ribozyme from F. prausnitzii
Rfam family: HDV ribozyme from F. prausnitzii
Source: RNAcentral